CCUACGGGAGGCAGCAGUAGGGAAUCUUCCACAAUGGGCGAAAGCCUGAUGGAGCAACGCCGCGUGGGUGAAGAAGGUCUUCGGAUCGUAAAACCCUGUUGUUAGAGAAGAAAGUGCGUGAGAGUAACUGUUCACGUUUCGACGGUAUCUAACCAGAAAGCCACGGCUAACUACGUGCCAGCAGCCGCGGUAAUACGUAGGUGGCAAGCGUUAUCCGGAUUUAUUGGGCGUAAAGGGAACGCAGGCGGUCUUUUAAGUCUGAUGUGAAAGCCUUCGGCUUAACCGGGGGAGGGCAUUGGGAACUGGGGGACUUGGGUGCAGAAGAGGGGAGUGGAACUCCAUGGGUAGCGGUGGAAAG
RNAcentral lists this ribosomal RNA (358 nucleotides) under uncultured bacterium. Its description in RNAcentral is "partial 16S ribosomal RNA". It matches the Rfam family "Bacterial small subunit ribosomal RNA", at positions 338 to 688 of the family's 1533-position model. The record is from RNAcentral.